UGCCAGGUGCGACACUCAACUGUCAUGUUC
RNAcentral lists this non-coding RNA (30 nucleotides) under Mus musculus (house mouse). The record is from RNAcentral. Lineage: Eukaryota; Metazoa; Chordata; Mammalia; Rodentia; Muridae.